RNAcentral lists this ribosomal RNA (274 nucleotides) under uncultured bacterium. Its description in RNAcentral is "partial 16S ribosomal RNA". It matches the Rfam family "Bacterial small subunit ribosomal RNA", at positions 523 to 796 of the family's 1533-position model. The record is from RNAcentral.
AUACGGAGGGUCCAAGCGUUAUCCGGAAUCAUUGGGUUUAAAGGGUCCGCAGGCGGUCAAUUAAGUCAGAGGUGAAAGCCCAUCGCUCAACGAUGGAACUGCCUUUGAUACUGGUUGACUUGAGUUAUACGGAAGUAGAUAGAAUAAGUAGUGUAGCGGUGAAAUGCAUAGAUAUUACUUAGAAUACCGAUUGCGAAGGCAGUCUACUACGUAUAUACUGACGCUGAGGGACGAAAGCGUGGGGAGCGAACAGAAUUAGAAACCCCAGUAGUCC